This 45-nucleotide non-coding RNA is filed under the name Schistosoma haematobium. Lineage: Eukaryota; Metazoa; Platyhelminthes; Trematoda; Strigeidida; Schistosomatidae. The record is from RNAcentral.
AUCUGACUGACGAGUUCCAAGUAGGACAAAACGCACGUCCUGGAU